GGCGGGGGGUAGCUUGCUACCUGCCGGCGAGUGGCGAACGGGUGAGUAAUACAUCGGAACGUGCCCUGUAGUGGGGGAUAACUAGUCGAAAGACUAGCUAAUACCGCAUACGACCUGAGGGUGAAAGUGGGGGACCGCAAGGCCUCAUGCUAUAGGAGCGGCCGAUGUCUGAUUAGCUAGUUGGUGGGGUAAGGGCCCACCAAGGCGACGAUCAGUAGCUGGUCUGAGAGGACGAUCAGCCACACUGGGACUGAGACACGGCCCAGACUCCUACGGGAGGCAGCAGUGGGGAAUUUUGGACAAUGGGGGCAACCCUGAUCCAGCAAUGCCGCGUGUGUGAAGAAGGCCUUCGGGUUGUAAAGCACUUUUGUCCGGAAAGAAAUCGCACUGGUUAAUACCUGGUGUGGAUGACGGUACCGGAAGAAUAAGGACCGGCUAACUACGUGCCAGCAGCCGCGGUAAUACGUAGGGUCCAAGCGUUAAUCGGAAUUACUGGGCGUAAAGCGUGCGCAGGCGGUUGUGCAAGACCGAUGUGAAAUCCCCGGGCUUAACCUGGGAAUUGCAUUGGUGACUGCACGGCUAGAGUGUGUCAGAGGGAGGUAGAAUUCCACGUGUAGCAGUGAAAUGCGUAGAGAUGUGGAGGAAUACCGAUGGCGAAGGCAGCCUCCUGGGAUAACACUGACGCUCAUGCACGAAAGCGUGGGGAGCAAACAGGAUUAGAUACCCUGGUAGUCCACGCCCUAAACGAUGUCAACUAGUUGUUGGGGAUUCAUUUCCUUAGUAACGUAGCUAACGCGUGAAGUUGACCGCCUGGGGAGUACGGUCGCAAGAUUAAAACUCAAAGGAAUUGACGGGGACCCGCACAAGCGGUGGAUGAUGUGGAUUAAUUCGAUGCAACGCGAAAAACCUUACCUACCCUUGACAUGCCACUAACGAAGCAGAGAUGCAUUAGGUGCUCGAAAGAGAAAGUGGACACAGGUGCUGCAUGGCUGUCGUCAGCUCGUGUCGUGAGAUGUUGGGUUAAGUCCCGCAACGAGCGCAACCCUUGUCUCUAGUUGCUACGAAAGGGCACUCUAGAGAGACUGCCGGUGACAAACCGGAGGAAGGUGGGGAUGACGUCAAGUCCUCAUGGCCCUUAUGGGUAGGGCUUCACACGUCAUACAAUGGUGCAUACAGAGGGUUGCCAAGCCGCGAGGUGGAGCUAAUCCCAGAAAAUGCAUCGUAGUCCGGAUCGUAGUCUGCAACUCGACUACGUGAAGCUGGAAUCGCUAGUAAUCGCGGAUCAGCAUGCCGCCGGUUUGCCC
RNAcentral lists this ribosomal RNA (1304 nucleotides) under Ralstonia solanacearum. Its description in RNAcentral is "bacterial SSU rRNA". It matches the Rfam family "Bacterial small subunit ribosomal RNA", at positions 65 to 1369 of the family's 1533-position model. Lineage: Bacteria; Pseudomonadati; Pseudomonadota; Betaproteobacteria; Burkholderiales; Burkholderiaceae. The record is from RNAcentral.